This 155-nucleotide ribosomal RNA is filed under the name uncultured cyanobacterium. RNAcentral's name for it is "partial 16S ribosomal RNA". It matches the Rfam family "Bacterial small subunit ribosomal RNA", at positions 355 to 525 of the family's 1533-position model. The record is from RNAcentral. Lineage: Bacteria; Bacillati; Cyanobacteriota.
UGGGGAAUUUCCCACAAUGGGCGAAAGCCUGACGGAGCAACGCCGCGUGAGGGAUGAAGGCCUCUGGGCUGUAAACCUCUUUUAUCCAGGAAGAAGAUCUGACGGUACUUGAUGAAUAAGCCACGGCUAAUUCCGUGCCAGCAACCGCGGUAAUA